RNAcentral lists this ribosomal RNA (258 nucleotides) under Triticum aestivum (bread wheat). Its description in RNAcentral is "partial small subunit ribosomal RNA". The record is from RNAcentral. Lineage: Eukaryota; Viridiplantae; Streptophyta; Magnoliopsida; Poales; Poaceae.
AUGGCGGAGGAACCGUCUAUCAAGCGUCACCGUGGUGAGACAUCCGACCAGACCAACAAGGUCAACGACAUUCAGGUCCCCGGUUUGAAGCACAACUACACCACUAAGCUCAAAGGGGUUGAUCUCCAUAGCAAGGAGACGCUGGAGGUUGUCUAUACUAGCAAUCUAGACGAAGCUGGCGAGAUGAUCAGGAGGCUCAGGAUGAGGGCCGAAGGCUUGUAUCUUUGGUUCAUUGAUGUUGAUGUGGAGUUUACCUAG